This is an RNA transcript of Octodon degus (degu), 2349 nucleotides long. It is a transcript of the gene named KH RNA binding domain containing, signal transduction associated 3, with no coding region annotated. NCBI's taxonomy places the organism in Eukaryota, Metazoa, Chordata, Mammalia, Rodentia, Octodontidae. The record is from RefSeq and is a predicted model, not a curated record. The transcript is spliced from 11 exons.
AUACGGAACUAAGAAACAGUAACUGAAUAACUGACGUAGGCGGUUUGUUUAUGGAAAUGAAAGAUAUAGAAAUAGAAAAGUUUCAAAAAGGAGAAAGCAAGGAUGAAGAGAAGUACAUUGAUGUGGUGAUUAAUAAGAACAUGAAGCUGGGACAGAAAGUGCUCAUUCCUGUAAAGCAGUUUCCUAAGUUCAACUUUGUGGGGAAACUUUUGGGUCCACGUGGCAAUUCUUUGAAGCGUUUACAAGAAGAAACCUUGACAAAAAUGUCCAUCCUUGGAAAAGGUUCCAUGAGAGACAAGGCUAAGGAAGAAGAGUUAAGGAAAAGUGGAGAAGCUAAGUACUUUCACCUCAACGAUGAUCUCCACGUUCUCAUCGAAGUGUUCGCUCCACCAGCAGAAGCUUAUGCCCGCAUGGGACAUGCUUUGGAAGAAAUAAAAAAGUUUCUUAUCCCUGACUAUAAUGAUGAGAUCAGGCAAGCACAGCUCCAGGAAUUAACAUACUUGAAUGGCGGAUCAGAAAAUGCAGAUGUUCCAGUAGUUCGAGGGAAGCCCACCUUGCGUACAAGGGGUGUGCCAACCCCAGCAAUAACCAGGGGAAGAGGAACAGUUACAGCCCGGCCAGUUGGAGUUGGGGUUCCACGAGGCACACCAACAACCAGAGGAGUCCUUUCAACCCGAGGGGCAGUGAGUCGGGGAAGAGGCCUUCUCACUCCAAGAGCAAGAGGUGUCCCCCCUACUGGGUACAGACCUCCACCACCACCCCCAACACAGGAGACAUAUGGAGAAUAUGACUAUGAUGAUGGAUAUGGCACUGCUUAUGAUGAACAGAGUUACGAUUCUUAUGAUAACAGCUACAGCACCCCAGCCCAAAGUGGCGCUGACUACUAUGAUUAUGGACACGGGCUCAGCGAGGAGACUUACGAUUCCUAUGGACAAGACGAGUGGACUAACUCAAGACACAAGGCACCUUCAGCGAGGACAGCGAAGGGCGUCUACAGGGACCAGCCAUAUGGCAGAUACUGAUUGUACUGUCUGAUGUUCUGAAAUAGCCAAUCUCCACCAUCCUGUAUACUGUUCAAAGUAAUUUUUUCUAUGAACAAUCCCUUUUUAAAUAAAUCAAAAUACUUAAAAUCUGAAUGGAUGGAACUUAAAACUACUUUGUUGAAACAUCAACCUGGUCAGGAAAAAAAGGACAUGUAAAAUUUUGUUAUUUCCAGUCUGUAUAUGAAAAAAUAGGUCAUCAAAAGGAGAAAAAUAACUUUGAUUAACUAGUGUUAAACAAAAAAUAGGUUUACUAAAUAUGUUAAUCCAUUCUUUUAAUAUAAGCCUCACUUUCAUUUUAAAGGUUUUCCAUAGAAUUUAGUUAUUUUAUCUUUCAGACAUAUGCUAGUUUUUUCUUUUUCUCUUGCCAACAUGCGUAAAAAGGGAAGCCAAUUACAAGUGCAAAUAAUGUGGUAUUCUUUUGUAACUCAAGUCUUGAAAUGUUCUGUAGUGUUAAGCAAAGUCUCCUCUUGCUUGAUACUAAAUAAACUUUUGAAAGAAAUUUCGUGUGUGUGAGCUAACAGUUUCAUGUUUUGCUUAUUUAAAAAGGCCUUCAUAAAUAGUCGUAAACAGGGAAAGAAUUCCUUUAACAAUGCUUGUCAUAAAAGGGUCACACUAAAUAUUGUACAAGUUAUUUUAAAAGUGGUAUAAAAUUAAAUGUACCAUUCUAUGCUCACCGUAGAUUUAAAUGCUGUUUAAAGAGUCCAAAUGGUAUCAAGCUGCGUGAAUGACACGUUAAAACCACCACAGCCAAAUCUUGUUUAAAAACUGGUUUUAAAAUAACUACUGGAUUUUCUGGGAAAGAUGUGAUCAGUUUUCAUCGUGUUGAGCAUUUUUUCACUAGUGCAACUUUGGAUUUUUUAUGAGACUUUUGGUACCUUAAUGAACACCUCGCUCCAUGCUGGAAGCCAUAAGCACAAAGCUUUUAAAGACACUCUGACUUGCCCAAUUGAGGUCGUACUCGCCAAGGCUGAGGAUGUGUAACCCUUAAACGGUCUUCAUUUUCAAAGGAAAUGUCUGGGAUGGCAGAGGAUCUGGUUGUGACGGAGUGAAGCCAGGAGCCCUGCUUCUGUUCAUGGACUGCUGAAGAAUAGCUCACCCUUGUGCCUAGUCAGUAAAUGAAUCUACAUGAGAACUUGAAAGUCAUCUUGACGUAUUAUUAUUAUUUUUGCAUAAAUUUUUGUUUGGUGAAAUGUUUUUAUGAAAUAGUACGCUUUUAAUUUAGAAGGCCUGUUUUAAAAAGAAAAUCAGUCUUAUUUUAUGGUCUCCUAAUAACAAAAAAGAAUGAUUUGUAGAAUCAUUAAUAAAG